GUGAAGCGAGACGGCGACGUUAAGCAAAUCACAAAAAACCCAGUCCCAGUUCGGAUUGCAGUCUGCAACUCGACUGCAUGAAGCUGGAAUCGCUAGUAAUCGCGAAUCAGAAUGUCGCGGUGAAUACGUUCCCGGGUCUUGUACACACCGCCCGUCACACCAUGGGAGCCGGGAAUGCCCGAAGUCGGUGACCCAACCGUAAGGAGGGAGCCGCCGAAGGCAGGCCUGGUAACUGGGGUGAAGUCGUAACAAGGUAUC
Molecule: ribosomal RNA, 258 nt
Filed under: uncultured bacterium
Lineage: Bacteria
Description: partial 16S ribosomal RNA
Rfam family: Bacterial small subunit ribosomal RNA
Source: RNAcentral